CAUCGAACUAUCUAGUAGCUGGUUCCACCUGAAUAUUCCCUUAGGAAGGUCAAAGUAUUAAUAGUAUUGAUUGGUAAAGAUAAUGAUUAGGUGUAAUGGGUGAGUAUUUUCACUCAACAUCUUGUCAAACUAUGAAUAAACAAAGAAGAAUUCUCAGUGUUAAAUACACUUCAGGAAUUUAAAUAUAAACAUACUUUGAAUCGGCCAAGUCUGGUAAGCAGGACUGGCGAUGCGGGAUGAACCGAACGUCGAGAUAAAGUGCCAAAAAGAAACAUAACGAGUACCACAAAAGGUAUUCAUUCAUAUUGACAAUAGGACGGUGGCCAUGGAAGUCGGAAACCGCUAAGGAAUGUGUAACAACUCACCUAUCGAAUGAAUGAGUCCUGAAAAUGGAUGGCAUUAUAAUUUCUUAACUGAUACUCGACCGUUAAAAUGAAGACAUUUUAACGAGUAAGGAAACGAAAUGGCGUAAGGACAACAAAAGUAGUAAAGAUUUAAAGUAAUUUAGAUUGAAACUGUCCUUAGUGCAGAUCUUGGUGGUAGUAGCAAAUACUAAGAAGAGGAAAAAAACAUCUUAGAACUGAAGAGGAGAAAGGUUCCUAAACAACAUUACUUGGAUUAGGGUGAAUCGAUCCUAAAUUACAGAUGGAAAUCCUUAAGAAAUAUAUAAGUGACAUAUAGUCAAUAUAAGGAUUGAAAGGGAAUAAGAUUAAUAGUUCUUAAUCAAGAGAAUUAAUGAUUAAAUCUUAGAAAUAAGAUUAAAUCGAAUAAAAUGGUAACAUAUCAUGAACUUUAAAAUGGAGUGUGAAAAUCUACGGAAGAGUUCUCUUUUCUUCUUAACAAAAGUAAACUCCACUGAAAUGAAUCAAUCAGAGAAGUGGAAUUUAUUGGCUUUGUAAGAAAUUCAACAUAUGAUUGAAUUGUGGUAUUUUUGCAGUCUUCAUAAAAAUUAAAGGGAAUCUUAGCAUAAAGCUAAUUAAAGAAUUCUUUUGCUCGUACUAAUAACCGCAACAGGUCUCCAAGAAGCAAAAUCUUUAGUUAAAUAGAAUAACGCAGGUAAGGGAAGUCGCAACAUAGCUCUGUAAGUUAGCAAGAAAGAGUAGCUCUGGUGAUUUCCUUGUAAAAGGAUUAAAAUCGAAUCAGAACUUUAAAGGUUAGGGGAAUCCGACUGUUUAAUAAAAACAUAGCAUUCUGAUAAAUCUAAAAGGUUCAUUACAGAAUGUGAUUUCUGCCCAGUGCUCUGAAUGUCAAGGUAAUGAAAUUUACUUAAGCGCGGGUUAACGGCGGGAGUAACUAUGACUCUCUUAAGGUAGCCAAAUGCCUCGUCAUCUAAUUAGUGACGCGCAUGAAUGGAUCACCGUGAUUCCCACUGUCCCUAUCUGCAAUCUAGUGAAACCACAGUCAAGGGAACGGGCUUGAUUGGAACGGCGGGGAAAGAAGACCCUGUUGAGCUUGACUCUAAUUUAUCAUGUGAAAUCGAUUUUUUGGUAUAGGCUAGGUGGGAGACUUUGUCAAACGUGUAAUACCACCACUAGAAAUACUAUUUCACUCAUUUCGUUAAAUGUUAAAAUGGAUUUUCCAUUAAUUUAAAAACAUUAAAACUUCGGUUGAAACAGGCGAUUGAAAAAGAUAGACGGGGAGUUUGGCUGGGGCGGCACAUCUGUUACAAGAUAACGCAGGUGUCCAAAGAUGAACUCAAUGAGGACAGAAACCUCAUGUAGAAUAUAAGGGUAUAAGUUCAUUUGAUUAUUGAUUCCAGUACAAUCAAUAACUCUGAAAUGAUGGCCUAACGAUCCCUAAGAUUUUUAACUAGAAAAAAUUUAAAACAUAUUAGAUUUA
RNAcentral lists this ribosomal RNA (1839 nucleotides) under Entamoeba dispar SAW760. RNAcentral describes it as "eukaryotic LSU rRNA". It matches the Rfam family "Eukaryotic large subunit ribosomal RNA", at positions 933 to 2800 of the family's 3401-position model. The record is from RNAcentral. Lineage: Eukaryota; Evosea; Mastigamoebida; Endamoebidae.